ACAGCAGUAGCCGCGGUAAUACGGAGGGUGCAAGCGUUAUCCGGAUUCACUGGGUUUAAAGGGUGCGUAGGCGGAUCUGUAAGUCAGUGGUGAAAUCUCCAGGCUUAACCUGGAAACUGCCGUUGAUACUAUAGGUCCUGAAUUUUGUGGAGGUUAGCGGAAUAUGUCAUGUAGCGGUGAAAUGCAUAGAUAUGACAUAGAACACCAAUUGCGAAGGCAGCUGGCUACACAACUAUUGACGCUGAGGCACGAAAGCGUGGGGAUCAAACAGGAUUAGAUACCCCCGUAGUCCCUGUCUCUUAUAC
RNAcentral lists this ribosomal RNA (305 nucleotides) under uncultured bacterium. RNAcentral's name for it is "partial 16S ribosomal RNA". It matches the Rfam family "Bacterial small subunit ribosomal RNA", at positions 508 to 807 of the family's 1533-position model. The record is from RNAcentral.